GAUGAACGCUGGCGGCGUGCCUAAUACAUGCCAGUCGAGCGAACAGAUGAGGAGCUUGCUCCUCUGACGUUAGCGGCGGACGGGUGAGUAACACGUGGAUAACCUACCUAUAAGACUGGGAUAACUUCGGGAAACCGGAGCUAAUACCGGAUAAUAUAUUGAACCGCAUGGUUCAAUAGUGAAAGACGGUUUUGCUGUCACUUAUAGAUGGAUCCGCGCCGCAUUAGCUAGUUGGUAAGGUAACGGCUUACCAAGGCAACGAUGCGUAGCCGACCUGAGAGGGUGAUCGGCCACACGGGAACUGAGACACGGUCCAGACUCCUACGGGAGGCAGCAGUAGGGAAUCUUCCGCAAUGGGCGAAAGCUUGACGGAGCAACGCCGCGUGAGUGAUGAAGGUCUUCGGAUCGUAAAACUCUGUUAUUAGGGAAGAACAAAUGUGUAAGUAACUAUGCACGUCUUGACGGUACCUAAUCAGAAAGCCACGGCUAACUACGUG
Molecule: ribosomal RNA, 497 nt
Filed under: uncultured bacterium
Lineage: Bacteria
Description: partial 16S ribosomal RNA
Rfam family: Bacterial small subunit ribosomal RNA
Source: RNAcentral